This 492-nucleotide ribosomal RNA is filed under the name uncultured bacterium. RNAcentral describes it as "partial 16S ribosomal RNA". It matches the Rfam family "Bacterial small subunit ribosomal RNA", at positions 29 to 507 of the family's 1533-position model. The record is from RNAcentral.
AGUGAACGCUGGCGGUAGGCCUAACACAUGCAAGUCGAACGGCAGCACAGUAAGAGCUUGCUCUUACGGGUGGCGAGUGGCGGACGUGUGAGGAAUACAUCGUAAUCUACUUUUUCGUGGGGGAUAACGUAGGGAAACUUACGCUAAUACCGCAUACGACCUUCGGGUGAAAGCAGUGGAACUUCGGACCUUGCGCGAUUGAAUUAGCCGAUGUGGGUUUAGCUAGUUGGCGGGGUAAAUGCCCACCAAGGCGACGAUACGUAGCUGGUGUGGGUGACUGAUAGGCCACACUAGAACUGAGACACGCUCAAUACUACUACGGGAGGGAGCAGUGGGGAAUAGUGGACAGUGGGCGCGAGCAUGAUACAGCCAUACCGCGUGGGAGAAGGAGGCCUUCGGGUUGUAAAGACCUUUUGUUGGGUAAGAAAAGCAGCAGGUUAAUACGACGCUGUUCUGACGGUACCCAAAGAAUAAGCACCGGCUAACUACGUG